AACAACCGCCUGUCCCACCCCUUAAGGUUAUUUUUCAAUUUGCAAGAGAUUGGUAUGAUGCCAACAAGUGUUCUUCUAGUAAGCCUCCUAGACAAAUCAUCUCAAUCCAUUGGAUCCGUCCGCCAAUUGGUAGAUAUAAAAUCAAUACAGAUGGGAGUUGUAAAGAUCCAUUUAGCCACAUAAGUGCCGGAGGUUUGAUUCGCAAUUCUGAAGGGGAUUGGAUUAAGGGAUUUGCUGCUAAUUUAGGCAGAGGAACCAUCAUGGAAGCUGAGCUUUGGGGUGUUCUCAUGGGCCUUUCUAUAGCUUGGGACGAGGGUUGCAGGGACGUGAUCCUUGAAUGCGAUUCUUGGGAUGCUGUUAUUUCAAUCCAAAAACCUAUAUUGGCUUUGUACCCACUUUACAAUCUCAUUCUUGACUGCAAAGAAGCCAUUGAAAGAAAUUAGAGAUGCGAAGUCAUUCAUAUCUAUCGAGAAAAGAAUGCAUCAGCUGAUCAUAUGGCUGACUUGGGUCAUGGGCUCCUUGGCCUUCAUGUUUUUGUUUCUCCUCAUUCCUCUGCUACUAAUUUUCUAGCUUCUGAUUCUAUUGGCAGAGCCCUUCCUAGGGCUGUUCUUGCCUAGUUCUGUUUGUCUUUGUUUUGCUUGUCUGGCUUUGCCAUCCUCUGUACCAAAAAAAAGAAAUAUAUUUUUUUGAGUACUUUGCUAUGUUUACACUAGGAGGAGGGAGAAUUCAACUAAGUUACCUAAUGGGCAGCUUAAUUUGGUAUCGAAUUCAUCAUCCACGAGAUUCGAACUUAAGAUCUCUCACUUCUAAAUGAAAAGAAAUAUCACAAGACCGUAAUACUGAAUGAUAAUACUCAAAACCUGAAACUAUUAGUGAAUUUUAUAUCAUAAGCAAAAUUCAAAUUGUCUUCCCUGAUAGGAUUAGUUUUUAAAGUGGAAAAAGGACAAUUCAUAAUUUCAUAUGGGACGAGAUUCUCUUCGGAUCCUUAUAUUUUAGCUGUUUAUCGUUUAUCAUGCGAUCAGUUUUAGUUAGAUACUAUUUAUGUUUAAUUUUAUAUAAAAAAUUAAAAAUAAAUUUUUACCGAUAUAUAAUGAACGACUAAGAUGUAAGGAUUCUUAAGAUCCCCAUCAUUUGAAUCCAAAUUCCAUUCAUAUGGACAUAAAAAGAAAUAAGACAUUUCCUAAAAGACAUAUAAUAUUUACAAAAAUGUAUCCACUUGUCAUCUUGAUUUUCCAAUAACAAAAAAUUGACAGAUAAUAAUUUUUUAUUUCUUAUUUUUAUCAAAAAAAAAAAAUUGAUGAGUGAUUAAGGAAGAACCGAAGAAAGUAUAUAAGAACAGUUGUGAUCAGGGAGCGCAGCUACAAAACCCUCACAGAGACAGAGAGCUAUGGAGGAAGUAGCUAUCGUUUUAUAUCCAUCACCGCCGAUUGGCCACUUGGUCUCCAUGGUAGAGCUAGGCAAGCUCAUACUCACCCACCACCCUUCUCUGCGCGUCCACAUCCUCAUCACCACCCCGCCCUACCGCGCCGACGACACCGCCUCAUACAUCACCUCCGUUUCCGCCACCAUCCCUUCCCUCAUCUUCCACCACCUCCCCACCAUCUCUCUCCCUCCCUCCCUCGCCUCCUCCCCCAACCACGAAACCCUAACCUUCGAAGUCCUACGCCUCAACAACCCUAACGUCCACCAAGCCCUCCUCUCCAUCUCCCAGAACUUCUCCAUCAAAGCUUUUGUCAUGGACUUCUUCUGCGCUCUCGGGCUCUCCGUUGCCACCGAGCUGAGCAUCCCCAGCUACUUCUUCUACACGUCCGGCGCCGCCACCCUCGCCGGCUUCCUUUGCUUCCCCACCAUUCACAACAAUACCGACAAAAGCCUCAAAGACCUAAAUACCCUUAUCAACAUUCCAGGAGUCCCGCCGAUUCCUUCCUCCGAUAUGGCGAAACCGAUUCUUGAACGAAACGACAAGGCGUACGAACAUUUCCUAGAAAGCUCAAAGCAGUUCCCCAAAUCCGCUGGGGUUAUCGUAAACACGUUCGAAUCUCUCGAACCUAGAGCUCUCAAAGCAAUAUCGGACGGUCUGUGCUUGCCCGAGAACUUUCCCACGCCGCCGGUCUACCCCAUCGGACCGCUGAUUGUUUCCCACGGCGGUGGAGGCCGCGGGGUCGAGUGUUUGAAUGGCUGGACUCACAGCCAAGUGGAAGCGUGGUGUUCCUCUGUUUUGGGAGCUUGGGAUUGUUUUCAAAGGAGCAGUUGAAGGAAAUUGCAAUUGGGUUGGAGAAUAGUGGGCAGAGAUUUUUGUGGGUGGUCCGUAAUCCGCCGGCCCAUAAUCAAAUUGGGGUGGCCAUUACGGACCAGUCCGAUCCAGAAUUGAAAUCUUUGCUUCCCGAUGGGUUCUUGGAUCGGACCAAAGACCACGGUCUCGUGGUCAAGACGUGGGCCCCGCAAAUGGCGGUGUUGAAUCACGACUCGGUGGGUGGGUUUGUGAGUCAUUGCGGGUGGAACUCGGUGUUGGAAUCGGUGUGUGCUGGGGUGCCGAUGGUGGCUUGGCCACUCUACGCCGAGCAGAGAUUCAACCGGGUCGUUUUGGUGGAGGAGAUUAAAAUUGCAUUGCCAAUGAACGAGUCGGAAGACGGGUUUGUGAUUGCGGCAGAGGUGGAGAAGCGAGUUAUCGAGUUGAUGGACUCGUCCGAGGGCGAGUCGAUUAGGAUGCGUACAAAGGCUUUUCAGAACGAAGCCCAUGCAGCGUUGGAUGAGGGCGGGUCGUCUCGGGUUGCAUUGAAUAAACUACUUGAACUAUGGAGCCAAACCGGUUAGAGUCCGACCGGGUUUAUGACUUUUUUUUCUUUGACCGGGUUUAUGACUUUGUUAUUGUAUUUUCCGGCCAUGAUUUUCUUCUUGUUCAAUUUUAUCAACGGAAUCUUCAAUUACAAAUGAUCAAUACGAUUCAUGCCAAUAAUUACUACGAUUAACAGUAUUUCCGACAAUGAUUUUCUAUUUUUUUUAGUUAAUUUUAUCUGCAACAUGUUAUUUUGAUUGUGUUAGAUGAAUUCUCAAAAAAUCAUGUUUCACUGGUGAAAGAAGAGUUGUAAAUGCGGUUGAAAACCAAUAGCAAAUGAACA
RNAcentral lists this long non-coding RNA (3119 nucleotides) under Malus domestica (apple). RNAcentral's name for it is "long non-coding RNA (MDOM_LNC001209)". Lineage: Eukaryota; Viridiplantae; Streptophyta; Magnoliopsida; Rosales; Rosaceae. The record is from RNAcentral.